AGAAAGAAAAAAAAAAAAAAAAUUCUCUCUCUCUCUAAACUAAUCCUGUGCUUUCAAUUUGCAAUGCAAACGAUCCCUCCCUCUCCAAGUCUAGAACUUAAAACUUUUAAACUAAUCAUGUGCUCUCAAUUUUCAAUCUUCUCUCCCUCCCCAAAUCUAGAACUAAAAACUUCUAAACUAAUUAUGUGCUCUCAAUUUGCAAUGCAAAUAUUUAUGAUUAUCUCAUACGAUAUUUUAAUUAUUUCCUCUAUCAUAAAAUACUACCUCCAAAGUUUUUACAAUUUUAGUAUCAUUUAAUGGGAUUGUAACUUUAUAUCAAUCAUUCUGUUGUCAUUUGAACCUCUGACUCUCAAACCUCUCCCUCAUCUGACAUUAUGACCAAACAAGUGCAGAAGACACUGUUCAUAACUAAGUAUCCUAAACAUGAAGAGGCAGCAGUUAUUAUAAAAGAUAAAUCUAACCACACGAGGUUCCUAGAUAUGAUUACCAUUUAAAAUUUUAAAUUAAAUAAACAUUCCAUAAACCUUUUUAUUUCAGCAUCAAUAACAUCACUACCUCAUCUACACUGGAUUUUUUCACAACUGUUGUUAAUUCCUCUCAGAGGCUUGGUCACAACAAAAUUGAUGUUACGAAGAUACCAAGAAGAAAGCAUUCAGUAGUAGGUAAAAUGAACAGCAGGGUAAAAUCUUGGCAUUUUCAGUGGCAGCAAAAUAAAGAAUGAUAUUCUUCUCUAUCACCUGCCAACAAAGGGGAAAAGACAUACCUGCAUCUGCACAAGUAGUUCUGUCUUGAUACGUCUUGAAGCUUCACUCUCAUUACCUUCACCACGCUGGCCACACAAGGAAUCUAUCUCAUCAAUAAAAAUAAUUGAAGGAGCACU
Molecule: unclassified non-coding RNA, 880 nt
Filed under: Hevea brasiliensis (rubber tree)
Lineage: Eukaryota; Viridiplantae; Streptophyta; Magnoliopsida; Malpighiales; Euphorbiaceae
Source: RNAcentral